GCCCGGAUAUAGUAACUCGCACAAAUGCCUUCGGGACUUAGCCCAGAUAUAGUAACUCGCACAAAUGCCUUCGGGACUUAGCCCGAAAUUAGUCACUAGCACAAAUGCCUUCGGGAUUUAGCCCGGUUAUCAUCCGGAUAUUCAUGCACAUAUCAAUAAAUCAUGACGCAUCUAUAUUUCAUUUUCAUAACUAGAAUUCAAACACAAGUCACUUAUCAAGCAUUACCAUUUUCGGC
RNAcentral lists this long non-coding RNA (236 nucleotides) under Gossypium barbadense (sea-island cotton). RNAcentral describes it as "long non-coding RNA (GBAR_LNC005416)". The record is from RNAcentral. Lineage: Eukaryota; Viridiplantae; Streptophyta; Magnoliopsida; Malvales; Malvaceae.